GACGUAGGUGGCGAACGUUAUCCGGAAUUAUUGGGCGUAAAGGGUGCGUAGGUGGCCUGACAAGUUAUCAGUGGCAAAUCGAGGCUCAACCUCGUGGAAACUGGUAAUACUGUCCGGCUUGAGUACAGGAGAGGUUAACGGAACUCUAUGUGGAGCGGUAAAAUGCAAAGAUAUAUAGAAGAACAUCAAUAACGGCGAAGGCAGUUAACUAUUCUGUUACUGACACUGAGGCACGAAAGCGUGGGGAGCAAAACGG
Molecule: ribosomal RNA, 256 nt
Filed under: uncultured bacterium
Lineage: Bacteria
Description: partial 16S ribosomal RNA
Rfam family: Bacterial small subunit ribosomal RNA
Source: RNAcentral